Molecule: long non-coding RNA, 1042 nt
Filed under: Oryctolagus cuniculus (rabbit)
Lineage: Eukaryota; Metazoa; Chordata; Mammalia; Lagomorpha; Leporidae
Description: lncRNA (ENSOCUG00000030526.1)
Source: RNAcentral
UUGUAGGCUUUUUAUAAUAUGCAUUUUCCAUAAACUUUUGGAAGAAAUGUCAUAUAUAUGGUUUUCAGAUUUUUUACACCAAAUUAAACAAUUUGUUUAAAAAAGAGAUCAUUUAUGUACUUAUGUACAAAGAGACAGAGUCUUCCAUCCACUGGUUGACUUCCCAGAUGGUUGCAAGAGUCAGGGCUGGGGUUGAACCCAGGAGCCAGGAUCUGUAUCCAGGUCUCUGUGAGUGGCAGAGACCCAAGUCCUUGAGCAGUCAUAGCUGCUUCCCAGGCAUAUUAGCAGGGAGCUAGAUCUGAAGCAGAGUAGCUGGGACUUGAACCGGACACUCCACUAUGGAAUGUGGACAUCCCAAACAGCAGUUUAACCCACUGCAUCACAAUGCCACUCCUAAACUUAUCUUUUUAUGUCACUUUUCAUGAACUCUUUCAAGCACCCUCAUGUAACCACCUUUUCUGAGUGCACUGUUAGGGGAUUAUAAAUGAAAAGUAAUAAAUGGGGAUGUUUGAGGAAGAAAUCAACACUCUAGAGACAAAAGGAAGGAAGAAUCGAAAGAAUAACAAGGAAAGAGAGGAGGGGGAGGGGGGAAAGUGCUUUAGAAGAAUGCGAUGCUCACCUGGGCCUGCCCGGCUUCCUUGUAGCCAACACCUGUGCACUAUGCACCUGCGACUGGCGGUCUUCAGUGUGCCAGAACUCCCUGCUUCAAGCACCUGAGCAGCUCCACUCCCUGCCGUGGGACUCUGACGCCGUGGAAGUGUCUCCUUCCAGCAAGACUAACAUGGAAGUACAGAUCCAGAGGGUGGUGGUGGUGGUGGUGGUGGUGGUGGGAGGGGAUUCAUACAUCCCAGGGGCAAACUCCUCUCUAUGGAGGUCAGAAAAAUAGCCUGAGAAUCCUUGUCCCAGUUCCUCCAAGGUUCCCCAGUGUGACUGAGCCUCAGUUGCCCAGAGCAACAACCUGUUUCGUCUAUACUCAUUAUUGACUUUUUUUUUUUGACAGGCAGAGUGGACAGUGAGAGAGAGAGACAGAGAGGUCUUCCUU